This 407-nucleotide long non-coding RNA is filed under the name Nicotiana tabacum (common tobacco). RNAcentral's name for it is "long non-coding RNA (NTAB_LNC000558)". The record is from RNAcentral. Lineage: Eukaryota; Viridiplantae; Streptophyta; Magnoliopsida; Solanales; Solanaceae.
GGUAUGUGGGGGAUAGUAUGGCUUAUUGGGGGGUGGUGGCGACUUAUAAAUUGGAGUGUGUGGAGGGUAGUGUGGCUUCUUGGGUGGUGGUGGUGAUUUGUAAACGGGAGUUGGUGGUGGUGGCGACUUAUAAACCGGGGUGUGUGGGAGAGAGUAUGGCUUCUUGGGUGGUGGUGGUGACUUGUAAACCGGAGGGUGUGGAGGGUAGUAUGGCUUCUUGGGUGGUGGUGGAGAUUUAUAAACUGGUACAGGAUGAUAUGGUGUUGGUGAAGGGUGGUAUGGCUUCUUAGGUGGUGGUGGAGACUUAUAUACAGGGUGAUGGGGUGGUGAUGGAUAGACAUGCACUGGUGGAGGAGGAGACUUGUAGAGGUAUGGUUUCUUAGGUGGUGGUGGAGAUGAGUAUUGAU